Molecule: long non-coding RNA, 1048 nt
Filed under: Heterocephalus glaber (naked mole-rat)
Lineage: Eukaryota; Metazoa; Chordata; Mammalia; Rodentia; Bathyergidae
Description: lncRNA (ENSHGLG00000035305.1)
Source: RNAcentral
GUGCAGUGGCUAUGGGUGAUCUCUUUAUUUCCAAACACAUUCACUUCUCUGGGUUGACCAUAAAUCCAACCAUUGGUGGAGGUCCCAAGAGCUGUAUAUCUGGUUGCAGAAAAACUGAAAUUCUUUCAGCACUUGGUUGUUGGGCUUUUCACUGACAGAGAAUAAAGAAAGGCUAUAAGCUACAUAGCACAGUUCCAUUUGAGUCCUUCACACCCCCUUGUCCUGAAAGAACAACAACAAUCCUUUCUGUGCUCUUGCUGUAUCAGAGUCUGAGGUGGUCAUACUGUCACAUUUGGAUAACAACCCCUCAUUUAGCCCACACAUUUUUCCUGUGACCAGCUGUGUCAGUGCGUCAUUAUCCAUGACUGGAGAUAUAAAUGAAAUCAUGGGUUUUGCAAGCCUGAGCCAUUUCUGACAGAAACUUGUGCCCUUCCUGGGAAUCCAGCUGGAUAACCGUCUCUAACUGCAGAAGUCAUUAAAAAGCAAUGCAGUGGGAUCUCCAAUUGUUUGCACAAUUUCCUUCAUGAUUUGAGAUAAGAUGCUUUUAAUAAGAACAUGACUUGUUUUCCAAAAUGUUGUACUGAUUUGACGAGAGGGUUUGAGAAGGAGAAGUAGUGAAAAUGGAGAUGGAAAAAGUGGGUGAUGACAAAGAACUACAUGGAGAAGAUAAAAUGAGACCGUCAUGUCUAGAGCUCAUAUAACCACUUGAUUUAUGAUAAAAAUGAAACUGCAAACAGUGGGGAAAGAAUGAUCCUCACAAUGAAUGGUGCUGGAACAACUGGAUAUCUACAAGUAGGAAAAUGGUGCUGAAGGAAAGACAUUAGAUACAAAAUGAUUCACACAGUGUAUAUGGCAACUCAACAUAGAGCAGUACUUUUCAAAGUGUGCCCCACGGACCACCUGCAUUCAAGCCACCUGAGUGAUGGUUAAAGGUACAGAUUCCCAAGUCUGCUUUAGAUUCAUUGAUUCUCUAUGAGUGAAACCUAAGAAUCCACAUUUUUAUCAACUUUCCUACUUGAUUUUUUUUUUUGUACCGGGGAUCAAACUC